ACCCGGCCUUGGCCCGCGCGCGGUUUCCGGGGUCCGGCGCGCCGGGGACCCACAGGCGAGGCGAGAGAAAGGGGUUGGCUCGCGGGGACACCUACCUGCGCGGCGCGGGGCUGUGGCGCCGGCCACCAUUACCCCGCGCCCCUCCUCUUGCCAGCGCGCACGCAGAUGGCGGGGUGGCCUGGGGAGGUCUUCGGGUCCCUUCCUGGGAACGCAGGGCCAAGUUGUGCUCCGAUUCCACGCCCCCCCCACCCACGUCGGGCACACGCAGCCCUGAGUGAGGGUCCAUGCCCUGCCUUUCACGCUGACCACAGCCCCUAGGCUUGGCGCCUGCCGGGAAGGGCCGCAAUGGCUCAGGGACCCCUGCCCCCACUACCAUCCUGCCCUGGGGGGACAGGCUCUAGAACACUGCGUGGGGCUCAGAGUGGGCCUAGCUGUAAAAGGACAGGGGUCCUUCUCCAGCCACGCCCACUCCCGGGUGCCCUGGCUGUCAGCAGCCUCUCACCACAACCGCAGGGUGAGAAGCCCAGAGAACAGUCCAGGAGUAGCCCUUCUGUCCUUUACCACGUCCGUGUGCCCAGCACGGGCAAAUCAGUAGCCACGCAAUAAAUGAAGUGCGGUGUUGCAGCUCUGGGCCUCUCUGCACCUGCCCUGACCUCAGCCUGUCCAGCCCAGCCUGGGGAUCUGCACUUAGGUUUGCAGCCUCCUGGGUCCCUGCCCGGUGCUCCUCAGAGCCGGAGCCUGUCUGCCGCAGGGAUGGCUUAGAGGACCUCCUACUGACCUUCUUGAUAAUUCAAGGAGGCCUUAGGCCCCUCUGCCCCACAUCCUCACAGAUAAUAGUAAUAAUAGUCCCAGCCCGCAUCUAUUGAGCACAGCUGUGUGCUGGGCUCUGUUGUUAAGUACUUAAUUACAUUAACUCAUUUGAUGUUCAGGGCUCUAUGAUGUAGACAGUAUUGUUAUUCCCAUCUUAUACAUAGGGGAAUGAGGCACAGAGAGGGCAAACAACUUGCCCAAGGUCACACAGGUGGUACGUAGAGGCCUCGGGAUUCAAAUCCAGGCAGUUGGGUACAGAAGCCCUCCUCCUACCCACAUCCUGUCCCAAGCCACCCUUGGCUGUUUCCUUCUGCUCUUUCACAAUUGCAUACCUUGGCUCCUGUGGCCCUCCCCACUCUAUAGACCUCCUGUUUCCCACCUCCUGAACUCCUGCCCCCAUCUUAAGACCCCAAGUCACUUCCCCUAGGGAGCAUUCUUGGUUGCCCCAGGUAAUGUGUGCUGAACCCUGCUGUGUGCCCUUAGCCCCUUUCCCAGCAUUGCACUGCCGCUGGGGUCGCUGGCACACAGCUGUCUCUCUACAGGGCCCUUGCUCUCAGCCCAGUUAUCCUGCUCAAAGCAGGGUGCCCCCAUUCCUAUUUGUGAAAUGAAUGUCUGGAACUGUCACGGCAAGAGUCUGCAGAAGGUUGGGCGGUUGUCAGGACAGAUGGUUGCAGGUUAGGGAUGAAGGGUGAUUGGAACUGCAGGCAGGGGAGGUAGAAGGAGAAAGAGAGCAAACAUCUCACCUUCUGCUAACCCCUCUAGGUGGCUCAGUGCUCCACACGGUGUGACUUAGCCUCUAGGUGAAUCUCCAGAAGGAUGGACAGUGGGUAAGAGGACAGAAGGUGCCCUAGCGGGGGAAGGCCGGGGAGCAGGAGGAGGCAGAGAGAGGCACAGGGAGUGUGGAGGCGGGAGGAUUUGCUUUUCUCACUGGGCACUACCCCAGCAACAUCCCAGCAGGCUAAGAGGCUGGAUAAGCCUCCUCUGCUGGUCUUCAUUUUGAAAUUCCUCCUUAGAAAGUCCUCACAAGUGGAAUUUUCUGGGUUGACUAUGCCAUAAAAAUUCACAUCUGCUUUCUAAAAGUUGCCAAACUGAAUGUAGUUGUGAAGAGUUUGGCGUUGAAAGCCAGUGUCAGCAUUUGAAUUCCAGUUGUACUACGCGCUAGUAGGGUGACCCUGGACAAGUCUUUUAACCUCUCUGUGCCUGUUUCCAUCUGUGAAAUGGAGACACAUCUUCAAAUGAGGGCUAAGAUGAUUACAUGAGUUAAACCAAGUAAAGCCCUUAGCUCAAGGCCCAGCACACAUGAGGGUUCAAUAGAUGUUAGCUGUUAUUAUCACUGUCAUUGGACAUUCCAAAUAUCCUCUUAUUUGCAGCUCUUAUCAUUUAUUAUUUAUUUAUUUAUUUUUGAAACAGGGUCUCACUUUGUCGUCCCCCAGAGUACAGUGGAGUACAGUGGCGGCUCACUGCAGGCUCAAUUGCUCUUAUCUUGUAAAUGCUUCCUGUGUCCUUAGUGCCUGUGCAUGAUCUCUUUUCAUCUCCAAAACAAGUAGUUUUAUUCUCUCCAUUUCACAGAUCAGGAAACUGAGGUUUCAUAAAUUGCCUGAGGCCACUCAAUUCCCAAGUGACUGAGCCAGGACUUGACAGGAGUUCUGACUCUGAAGCUGUUUCUUCCAAUGAUUCUGUUCUGCCUCGUCUUAUCUCUCUAGGAAAGAGGUGGGCUGUUUUAAAGCUCAUUGUCAGUUGCCAGAUCGAGGACUCUGACUAUCAGGAGUACAGAGCAUGCCCUGUAGAAAAUGUAUUACAGAAUGAAUCCUGCCAGGGCUACCACACUGCACAACCUCAAGGGUGCCGUGCAUGCUGCAAUCUAUCAGUUGGUGGUCCCUGGAGUUGGCACAGUGUGCCAGUACUUGGUGGCCCUGUCUCCUGCCUCUCUUUUUCUUUUCUUUUGUUGAGACAGAGUCUCCCUCUGUCACCCAGGCUGGAGUGCAGUGGCAUGAUCUUGGCUCACUGCAAUCUCGGCCUCCUGGGUUCAAGCAAUGUUCAUGCCUCAGCCUCCUAAGUAGCUGGGAUUACAGACGUGUGCCACCACACCCAGCUAAUUUUUAGUAUUUUUAGUAGAGACGGGGUUUUACCGUGUUGGCCAGGCUGGUCUCAAACUCCUGGCCUCAAGUGAUCUGCCUGCUUCAGCCUCCCAAAGUGCUGGGAUUACAGGCGUGAGCCAUCGCACCCAGCUAUGCCUCUCUUUUUUCACCCCACAUUCUCCGUUUACAGGUGCCUAAACAUAUCCAGUGCCUUUCACAGUCUCAAUGCUGUUAAAUUAAAACAAAGUCACUUUUGAUUCAUGCUUCACUUUUUAGAGACAGACAGCAUGGCUCUUAUUAUAGUUACUUAAAGAUCUGGAACUGGCCAGUGGAGUCUGAGAAGCUUGGGCUGUUGCCAAAAUACAGACUUGGGCAUUUCUGGCCAUGCUUUCCCUAAGAAAAUGCUGGAGCUGGAGAACCAUAUAGAAAUUCAUCAUACUGCUUGCAAAGUCACUUUUGACUGGAUUUUGCUAUGUUUCUUGGUGUCAAGAUGUCCAGUCCUUGGCAGAGACAGCAGAAUUUGUUGUUUUGUAAAUAAAACCUGGCUUUACAAGCAACAAAACAGCUCACUAAUGGUAAAUUAAGCACAUAUUGUCUUCCAGAACCUUCCUGAGCCUAGAGAAUGUAAAUUAUGACCUACGCUUUUGAAAUGCUGAUUGGAAAUGCUGCACUAAUAACUAUCUGUCUCGCCCACAGAAAUUAUCUCCCACAUUGGGCUGGGCUCCAGAGACAUGGUCUGAAAUUCACCACCCCCAGUGCCAGUGAUGUUUGCAUCCAUUUCUUCUUUUCCAGUCACUUGUGGGAUUUUCUUUUUAUCCUGGCAUCUGUAAAGGCAGAAUCUCUACACAGAGCCUGAGGACAGCUCAUUCACUGCAUUUCCCCAGUGUCAAACCCAGAGUGACACACUGCAGGUGUCCAGAAAAUGGCAGCCAAAGGAAUGUGUGAAAGAGGCUCCUGCACCAGCAAUGUGCUGCAUACUUUCUAUCCACCUAUCCAGAUCCAGUCUCCAUCCCCCUACUCUAAGGAUGAUGUCACCCGGCACCCUGCCUUCCAGCGUCUGUUAGAUUUGGGUGAUAGGAAGCACUAACUGGAGAUCAGAGGAUGGGAGGAGAGUGAAGACCCGGCAGUAUUUAUCCACUCUGCCAGGGUCACUUCAGGUUGGCUGCCUCCCUCGGCUGAAGAUGUCAGCUCAGUUCCUGUUGGAGUCCCUGUCCUGCACUUGUCUCUUCCUUCUUCCUGCAAGCCUAGGGCUAGUAACAGCUCCUGAGGCAUGGCCGUCCCACCGUGUGGCACCAUCCCUUAACCCUGUCCACACCUUUGUGUUAAACUCUCAUCAGUUACCCUGCUUGAGGGUGCCAUCUGCUUCCUGCUGAGUCUGACUGAUACAGAAACGGAUGCAUCAGAUACAUCCUCACUGCAAACUCAUACUAAUGGAAAAAUGUGCAUAUAUUUCAGAAUGUGCACAGAUGAUCUACUUUUGAAAAUCACUGUUUUUCCACUUCGUUCUUCCAAUUAGCACAGCUGGCUAGCCUUCGCGGAAAUCUCUCUUUAUCCCCUAAACAACAGAAUGAGUCCCUACUUCCUCCCUCGGUUCUAGCGCCAGCUCAUCUCAGUCUCUGCUCAGGCCCAAGCCUUCUCUUGCUGAUCCACCCCUGUCCUGUGCUUCCCGUCACCAUGAGCUUUCUAGAGCGGAGCACGCGGCUGCCGAAUCAGGUCGGUAACUUUCCUUCUGGGAAAUAAUUGCCGAUGCUGAGUCAAGCACCUCUCAGGACAGUUUCAGGCAGAAAGAGGCUGGUUUUCUUUCCUAAGAGUUAUUGUUUCUGGCAACGACCACACUCCAGCAGGCUCAGGCCUGAGCUGAUGAAUGGGACAACCUGAUGACCACCACAAAGUUGCGUCUGCUCCCAUCCAGCUAAUCCGAGGGCUCUCAGACAGACUGUGACUAAUGGGGACAUCCUGGGCCUUGGUUUCUGCUUCUUUAAAAUGGGGUUAACAAUGAAGAUUGGUGUAAGAAUCACAUAUAAAGGUGCUGUCAAGAAAUCUGGUUGAAGGCUGGACAUGAUGGCUCAUGCCUGUAAUCUCAGCACCUUGGGAGGUUGAGGUGGGAGGAUCAC
RNAcentral lists this long non-coding RNA (5002 nucleotides) under Homo sapiens (human). RNAcentral's name for it is "HSALNT0378700". Lineage: Eukaryota; Metazoa; Chordata; Mammalia; Primates; Hominidae. The record is from RNAcentral.